RNAcentral lists this ribosomal RNA (507 nucleotides) under Salmonella enterica. RNAcentral's name for it is "partial 23S ribosomal RNA". It matches the Rfam family "Bacterial large subunit ribosomal RNA", at positions 583 to 1091 of the family's 2925-position model. The record is from RNAcentral. Lineage: Bacteria; Pseudomonadati; Pseudomonadota; Gammaproteobacteria; Enterobacterales; Enterobacteriaceae.
CUUCGGGGUGUGACUGCGUACCUUUUGUAUAAUGGGUCAGCGACUUAUAUUCUGUAGCAAGGUUAACCGUAUAGGGGAGCCGGAGGGAAACCGAGUCUUAAUUGGGCGUUAAGUUGCAGGGUAUAGACCCGAAACCCGGUGAUCUAGCCAUGGGCAGGUUGAAGGUUGGGUAACACUAACUGGAGGACCGAACCGACUAAUGUUGAAAAAUUAGCGGAUGACCUGUGGCUGGGGGUGAAAGGCCAAUCAAACCGGGAGAUAGCUGGUUCUCCCCGAAAGCUAUUUAGGUAGCGCCUCGUGAAUUCAUCUCCGGGGGUAGAGCACUGUUUCGGCUAGGGGGCCAUCCCGGCUUACCAACCCGAUGCAAACUGCGAAUACCGGAGAAUGUUAUCACGGGAGACACACGGCGGGUGCUAACGUCCGUCGUGAAGAGGGAAACAACCCAGACCGCCAGCUAAGGUCCCAAAGUCAUGGUUAAGUGGGAAACGAUGUGGGAAGGCCCAGACA